UGAUUUUGUUUAUUCGAGUUACUAUGUUAUCAGAUGUUCGGGAAUGCAUGCAACCGUAGCAAUACUUGUAUCAAGCUAAUACUGUUUAGAAGAAUGUUUAAUGGACAAAGACACUGAUAUUUUCACCAUUUGUAUCCUGGUUAAGAUAAGCACGAGGAGAUUUCAGAACAUACUUUUAGUUAAUACAGAUUGGUUUCUUUUCUGCAAAUUGUGAAUAACAUUUGCUCUAUUAUUCUCUACCCGACGGAAUAUUAAGAGGACUCUGUAGCUUUUAUAAACCAUGUUCCGAUAUCCAAUUGGAAAAUUUAUUAGGAGAUGUACAUUCUGCAUCGUCCCUCUCAGUGUCGUUAAAGCACAAGACAGCAUUGUGGAUAGUGUUAAAAAGGCAUUGGAGUUCGUGCCAUCUGAAAUGAUCACUGAUUUAUCGGAAUUACGCGAAGGUGAUCAUAUAAGUUUAGCAAGCUAGGUGUAUACGCCCAUCAUGCUAUUGUCUCAAAACUUGACAAAAAAGCAGGAACAAUCACACUUAUUCACUUUACUGGUGAUGGCAAUAUCAAUACCAAACUCUACAACAAAGCAUCGAUAAAAGAGAAUACGAGGACGUUUAGUUUAAAUGAUGGUGCUGCUCUUGUUAAAUAUAACGAAUAUACACCUCAUUUGAAACGAUUUCCACGACAUGCAACUGUCGCUGUUGCCCAGUACUUUAAAGAUAAUCCUGAUGUCGGUCAUAAUUACAAUCUACUGAUGAACAAUUGUGAGCAUCUAGCUUUCUCGUGCACUUUGGGAUAUGCAAUAAGUUUUCAACAAAUGAAGCCACUUAUUAUUGCUUGUUUGGCCCUGCAAUGUGUUACCACAAAUGCUCUCGACUUUUUGAUGGAAUUUCUGCUGACCAAGCAGGUUGUACGAUAUAAAGAUGGAGACGAUUUUGUCACACUUUUGUUAAAGGAUAAAGAAGUCAAAAUUCGCUUCAACGCCCACAAAACGAUAUAUCAAGAUAAAAAAAAAAAAUGAAUAUUUUUUCUUAAAAAAUGAAAUUUUACUGUGCGAUUGAUGUGUUAUUUUAUUCACAUAAUAUUUACAUAUGUAAUAUUUAUCUAACCAAUAUAAUAUUUGAGGUAUAUUGAAAUGUUAUAAGCCACAUUUGACCACAAUCCAGUAAUUGCUGCAGAUUUCAAAAACUUGUAUUCACAAAAAAAGAUGUUAUAACAUUGCGAAUGAAACAUUUUUUGAACACAGACCAGAGUGGUAGAUGUAAACAGCUUAUUCAACGCUGAAAUCAUUUGACAUUAUGAACACAGUAAAAUGGAAAAAAAGCACAUAACUAGGUUGUGCAUUUUAGAUAAUUUCUAUUUUGAAGUUUCCUUUAAAUCAAAUAUACUUAUUUUGGAACAUAUAUAAAAUAAAAUAUUUCUUAAAUUGAUUUGAAUUCUUUUGGGAUGAUGAUAGGAAACAUUUUGAGUUAAACUGGGAAGAGUUCAUUUAGGUUAUAAAUGUUUUUCAAGAGGAAUAUCAACUGUUAUCACCAUCAGAAAUUUGUUGAAUACAUACCGGUAUCUUGUUGUAAGCAUAUACACAAGUGGCUACUUCACUAACAAAUUAAUGUGCUAGCCAUCUUACAACAUGUAUACAAGUGGCGGCUUCACUAACAAAUUAAUGUGUUAGCCUUCGUACAAAAUGUAUACAAGUGGCUGCUUCACUAACAAAUUAAUGUGCUAGUCUUAUUACAACAUGUAUUCAAGUCGCUGCUUCACUUACAAAUUAUCGUGCUAGCCUUCUUACAACAUGUAUGCAAGGGGCUGCUUCACUAACAAAUAAAUGUGGUAGCCUUCUUACAACAUGUAAACAAGUGGCUGCUUCAUUAACACAUUAAUGUGCUAGCCUUCUUACAACAUGUUUACAAGUUGCUGCUUCACUAACAAAUAAAUAAAUGCGCUAACCGUCUUACUCCAUGCUGAAACUUAGUAGUUUGAAUUCAUAUUUUUGGGGGAAUUUUAUCUGUUAAUUUUAUCUUUUGAUACAUAUUGGUUUAUGAAUUACAACAGCUGAAGUUUUUUUGAGGUUUGUGAGGUCCAAUACACAGUGAAAAUAUAACAGUUUUGUAAGAUACGUCUGCUUCCUUUUCUAGUCAACAUUGAUUCCGCAACCAACAGCAAAACAGGUAUUUAUGGAGGAGUCUUCAUUAUCAAUUGCUACAAGCAUUUGUACUUUACUUUGUUCUGUUAGCUGUAAAGUAACAAAUAAUAACUGUAAAAACACAGUGUUAAAGUUUUUUUAGAUUAGUGAUUACAUGUUCAAAAGUUUUUAGGUAUCAUAAUAUCUAAAUUGCAAUAUGACAUUACUUACAUGUAACUUUAACAUGUAUCUUUAUACAUAAACUUUAUAUUUUUCA
This is a long non-coding RNA of Mytilus californianus (California mussel), 2389 nucleotides long. RefSeq lists it as uncharacterized. The transcript has 3 exons. NCBI's taxonomy places the organism in Eukaryota, Metazoa, Mollusca, Bivalvia, Mytilida, Mytilidae. The record is from RefSeq and is a predicted model, not a curated record.